This 324-nucleotide ribosomal RNA is filed under the name uncultured eukaryote. RNAcentral's name for it is "partial 18S ribosomal RNA". It matches the Rfam family "Eukaryotic small subunit ribosomal RNA", at positions 1470 to 1796 of the family's 1831-position model. The record is from RNAcentral.
CCUUUAGAUGUUCUGGGCCGCACGCGCGCUACACUGAUGCAUUCAACGAGUUUCUUCCUGGUCCGAGAGGAAUGGGUAACCUUUUGAAAGUGCAUCGUGAUAGGGAUAGACUAUUGCAAUUAUUGGUCUUCAACGAGGAAUUCCUAGUAGACGUAGUUCAUCAGACUGCAUCGAUUACGUCCCUGCCCUUUGUACACACCGCCCGUCGCUCCUACCGAUUGAAUGCUCAGGUGAGCCAUUCGGACUUUCAUCAUGCUGGCUUCCAGUUUUGAUGAAGGAAAGUCUUGCGAACCUUAUCAUUUAGAGGAAGGAGAAGUCGUAACA